Molecule: long non-coding RNA, 369 nt
Organism: Ostrea edulis (European flat oyster)
Lineage: Eukaryota; Metazoa; Mollusca; Bivalvia; Ostreida; Ostreidae
Exons: 2
Source: RefSeq, a predicted model, not a curated record
UAUUCCCACAUAACCAACAUUUUGAUUUUUGCACCUGAGUAAAUGUUUUACCUGAGAAGGACUUGCUUUAAAAUAAUAUGAAAACAAAUAAACAAAAGCAUAUAUUUAUGUUAAAAAAUGGUUAUGAAUGUAUCUACCAUAAAUGUAAUUCUAAAUUGAGAUUUCAUAUAUAUUUGCAUGAUAAAACAAAAUAACUAAAUAAAUAUUUAAUGUUUAUCAUUUGAAACUUGGUAUUUUUUAGGUACAUUAACGUUAAGCUAUAAUUUAAAGUAAUUGAUUUACAAAAUUAAGAUUAAAAAGACAAAGAAGACAAACUAUUAUAUAUCCAGCAAAAUAAAAUUCAUAAAUAGAAGGAAAACAAACCAACUC